This 468-nucleotide ribosomal RNA is filed under the name uncultured bacterium. RNAcentral describes it as "partial 16S ribosomal RNA". It matches the Rfam family "Bacterial small subunit ribosomal RNA", at positions 28 to 507 of the family's 1533-position model. The record is from RNAcentral.
GAUGAACGCUGGCGGCGUGCUUAACACAUGCAAGUCGAACGGAAAGGCCAUGCUCUUGUGGGUUUCUCGAUUGGCGCACGGGGGUGUAACACGUGAGUAACCUGCCCCUGACAUACGGAUAAAUCUAGGAAAAUGGGUCGAAUACCGCGUAGGAGCUCCUGCUGCAUGGUGUGGGUUGGAAAAUUUCGGCGGUUGGGGAUGGUCUCGCGGCUUACCAGCUUGCUGGUCGGGUAGUUGCUUACCAAGGCUUUGACGGAUAGCCGGCCUGAGAGCGUUGACGGCCACAUUGGGACUGAGAGACGGACCAGACUCCUACGGGAGGCAGCAGGGGGGAAUAUUGCACAAUGGGCGGAAGCCUGAUGCAGCAACGCCGCGUGCGGGAUGACCUCCUUCGGGUUGUAAACCGCUUUCGCCUGUGACGAAGAGUGAGUGACGGUAAUGGGUAAAGAAGCCCCGGCUAACUACGUG